This 79-nucleotide transfer RNA is filed under the name Nitrosomonadaceae bacterium. RNAcentral's name for it is "tRNA-Gly". It matches the Rfam family "tRNA". From Rfam's summary of the family: Transfer RNA (tRNA) molecules are approximately 80 nucleotides in length. Their secondary structure includes four short double-helical elements and three loops (D, anti-codon, and T loops). Lineage: Bacteria; Pseudomonadati; Pseudomonadota; Betaproteobacteria; Nitrosomonadales; Nitrosomonadaceae. The record is from RNAcentral.
GCAGUAGUAGCUCAGCCUGGUUUAGAGCGCGAUUUUGCCAAAGUCGAUGUCACCGGUUCAACUCCGGUCUACUGCUCCA